Molecule: ribosomal RNA, 482 nt
Filed under: uncultured bacterium
Lineage: Bacteria
Description: bacterial SSU rRNA
Rfam family: Bacterial small subunit ribosomal RNA
Source: RNAcentral
GAUUCUGGCUCAGAAUGAACGCUGGCGGCAUGGAUUAGGCAUGCAAGUCGAACGUACUCCCUUCGGGGAGAAAGUGGCGAAAGGGUGAGUAACACGUGAGCAACCUGCCUCCGGAUCCGGAAUAAUCCAGGGAAACUUGGUCUAAAACCGAAUGAAGACAUUGGUCCGCAUGGUCUAAUGUUAAAAUAUUUAUAGUCCGGAGAGGGGCUCGCGGCCCAUUAGCUUGUUGGCGGGGUAAUGGCCCACCAAGGCUACGACGGGUAGGUGGUCUGAGAGGAUGGUCACCCACACUGGGACUGAGACACUGCCCAGACUCCUACGGGAGGCUGCAGUCGAGAAUCUUCCGCAAUGGGCGCCAAGCCUGACGGAGCGAUGCCGCGUGAGGGAUGAAGGCCUUCGGGUUGUAAACCUCUGUCAUCCGGGACGAAAACAAUGACGGUACCGGAAAAGGAAGCCACGGCUAACCACGUGCCAGCCGCCGC